RNAcentral lists this ribosomal RNA (468 nucleotides) under uncultured bacterium. RNAcentral describes it as "partial 16S ribosomal RNA". It matches the Rfam family "Bacterial small subunit ribosomal RNA", at positions 28 to 507 of the family's 1533-position model. The record is from RNAcentral.
GACGAACGCUGGCGGCGUGCUUAACACAUGCAAGUCGAACGGAAAGGCCCUGCCUUUGUGGGGUGCUCGAGUGGCGAACGGGUGAGUAACACGUGAGUAACCUGCCCUUGACUUUGGGAUAACUUCAGGAAACUGGGGCUAAUACCGGAUAGGUGCUCCUGCUGCAUGGUGGGGGUUGGAAAGUUUCGGCGGUUGGGGAUGGACUCGCGGCUUAUCAGCUUGUUGGUGGGGUAGUGGCUUACCAAGGCUUUGACGGGUAGCCGGCCUGAGAGGGUGACCGGCCACAUGGGGACUGAGAUACGGCCCAGACUCCUACGGGAGGCAGCAGUGGGGAAUAUUGCACAAUGGGCGGAAGCCUGAUGCAGCAACGCCGCGUGCGGGAUGACGGCCUUCGGGUUGUAAACCGCUUUCGCCUGUGACGAAGCGUGAGUGACGGUAAUGGGUAAAGAAGCACCGGCUAACUACGUG